RNAcentral lists this ribosomal RNA (1047 nucleotides) under uncultured bacterium. RNAcentral's name for it is "bacterial SSU rRNA". It matches the Rfam family "Bacterial small subunit ribosomal RNA", at positions 492 to 1532 of the family's 1533-position model. The record is from RNAcentral.
CCCGGCUAAAUUACGUGCCAGCAGCCGCGGUGAGACGUAGGGGCCAAGCGUUGUCCGGAUUUAUUGGGCGUAAAGAGCUCGUAGGCGGCUUGGCAAGUCGGAUGUGAAAUCUCCAGGCUUAACCUGGAGUCGCCAUCCGAUACUGCUAUGGCUAGAGUCCGGUAGAGGAUCGUGGAAUUCCUGGUGUAGCGGUGAAAUGCGCAGAUAUCAGGAGGAACACCAACGGGCGAAGGCAGCGAUCUGGGCCGGUACUGACGCUGAGGAGCGAAAGCGUGGGGAGCGAACAGGAUUAGAUACCCUGGUAGUCCACGCCCUAAACGUUGGGCACUAGGUGUGGGGCCUAUUUCGACGGGUUCCGUGCCGUAGCUAACGCAUUAAGUGCCCCGCCUGGGGAGUACGGUCGCAAGGCUAAAACUCAAAGGAAUUGACGGGGGCCCGCACAAGCGGCGGAGCAUGCGGCUUAAUUCGAUGCAACGCGAAAAACCUCACCUGGGUUUGACAUGUAGGGAAAAGCUGCAGAGAUGCAGUGUCCUUUUAGGGCCCUUCACAGGUGGUGCAUGGCUGUCGUCAGCUCGUGUCGUGAGAUGUUGGGUUAAGUCCCGCAACGAGCGCAACCCUUGCCCUAUGUUGCCAGCGGAUAAUGCCGGGGACUCGUAGGGGACUGCCGGAGUUAAUUCGGAGGAAGGUGGGGACGACGUCAAGUCAUCAUGCCCCUUACAUCCAGGGCUGCACGCAUGCUACAAUGGCCGGUACAAAGGGUCGCCAACCCGCGAGGGGGAGCCAAUCCCAUAAAGCCGGUCUCAGUUCGGAUCGCAGUCUGCAACUCGACUGCGUGAAGUCGGAGUCGCUAGUAAUCCCGAAUCAGCACGUCGGGGUGAAUACGUUCCCGGGCCUUGUACACACCGCCCGUCACACCACGAAAGUCGGCAACACCCGAAGCCGGUGGCCCAACCAGUAAUGGAGGGAGCCGUCGAAGGUGGGGUCGGUGAUUGGGGUGAAGUCGUAACAAGGUAGCCGUACCGGAAGGUGCGGCUGGAUCACCUCCUU